RNAcentral lists this ribosomal RNA (20 nucleotides) under Poitea florida. RNAcentral describes it as "partial large subunit ribosomal RNA". The record is from RNAcentral. Lineage: Eukaryota; Viridiplantae; Streptophyta; Magnoliopsida; Fabales; Fabaceae.
AGNGACCUCAGGUCAGGCGG